This 301-nucleotide long non-coding RNA is filed under the name Mytilus galloprovincialis (Mediterranean mussel). Lineage: Eukaryota; Metazoa; Mollusca; Bivalvia; Mytilida; Mytilidae. The record is from RNAcentral.
ACUGUUAGUAAUACGAAUAAGAAAAGCAUCAUAUUUUGGUUUAGUCAGUUGCAUAAAUAAUGAUUUCAAAAACUAAAGAAAAAAUGAAUAAUUUUAUCAAUUUUCAAUGCAUAUGCCUGCUUAUUACAGGUAUGUAUGCCCACAAUACUGAAAGUCCAUCAAGUUAGAAAUGACCUAUUGAUAGAAAACUUACCACCUUAUAAAUGUCCCUCAACUCUACAUGUGAUUCAGUAGGUUGCUACUAUAUGCAUAAUAUUACUAAGUUUUUGACAUCAAUAUAAAUCCGUUUUAUGCUCCACCG